RNAcentral lists this long non-coding RNA (17764 nucleotides) under Nicotiana tabacum (common tobacco). RNAcentral describes it as "long non-coding RNA (NTAB_LNC009664)". The record is from RNAcentral. Lineage: Eukaryota; Viridiplantae; Streptophyta; Magnoliopsida; Solanales; Solanaceae.
CUCUCUUCAGAACUAGACAAAUCCUAAACAAAUCCGCCGAGGCUGUCCUCUAAGGCUUUCGUCUCUCUCGUCUUCAAACUAUCCGGCAUCGACGAACUGUUUUGCUUACUCCGACGAAGGAAUUCUGACGAAGGACAACCAUUUCGGCUAAUAUAAGGGAAUCUCAGAUGUAGAUUAUCAGUAUUUUUCCAUGUUCAUGGUUGUUCGCUUUCGUUAUUGUUUCACCGGAAAAUUGUUCGCCGCUUCUUCUGCUUUCUUUCUCUAGUAAGAUUUCAUCUAAACCCAUUAAUUUACUCUGUCCUUUGUUUGUAUUAUAUGAUUUCUAGUUUUUGAUUUCAUCUAAACCCAAUUUUUUUUGAUUUCUAGUUUGUAAAACUGUAAUUAUCUAGUUAGUUGGAAAAAUAAGUUAAACUUUAUUUAGGGUUUUUGAGGUAUUUUCAGUUGAUCUGACUAACGGGAAGGAUUUGAGCACCAAAAUACAUGAUCUGUCAUUUUAUACUAUCGACAGACUAUACAAGCAUAGUGUUACAUUAAGGGCUUUCUUAUUAUUUGUUGCUACUUGACUCUUCGUGUUAUCGAUCACAUUUUAUCUAUUAGUUUUAUGUGUUGUUACUGUCUGUCCUUUUGCAUUUGCCUAAUUUCCAUGAACUUCCACUCUACAAACCUAUUCAUCAGUGUGAAGACACUCUUAGUGCACUCAAAUCCCAAUGCUGCAACUAGUUGUCUCUGUAUGUAAUUAGCCACCUCAUAGCUAGAAUUUCCACCAGCACAAGUCAAAUCUUUGGGAAUUUUUCCAAUGAUCUCAAUAGUGUAAGAAGGUCUUGGAUUCAUCAAGAAGAAAAUAGGGUCCAAACACUUGAGACCACUAGCAGCAGUCCCAUAAAACAUGGUCACAUUUGUGUUCAUAGCCACAAAUGUACAAUCUCAUCAGCUAAUUCUGCAAACAAGGAGCUGAACCUUAAAAGAUAUGGCUUCCUGCAUGUGGUUCCUUUUAGACAAACAACUAAGUCACCUGUAAGAUAAUACAAAUAACAGACAGUAAAAAAAAUUACUUUUAAGACGUGAUUAAAUAGCUAAUUGUCCAUGUACAAAAAUAUACAUACAAGUCCAUAUAUUAAAUUUUUCGAACAUUACCUUCGCUAAAUAUUGCUAAUAGUAUUCCAAUUGGAAGCCAAAUGAACAUGGCUAAUGUUGCAAGAGGUGUAGGUAGAAAAGCUAGCCUUCCAUCAUGAAAUACUAGUGGCUUUGGAUAUUUCUCCCUUGCCAAUACUGAACUACUACUUUUUUUGUCCUCCUUGUUUACCACGUAAGCUUCCUGUUCAAUAGAAAGAUGUAUUUAGACACACUAAAAAAGAAAAAAAAUAUUGAUAUAAAGUAGAUUACAAUGAGUAAUAAAAUGUUGUUGACUUAAAUCACCAUUUUUCGCUUAAUGAGUUAACUAAAAGUGCACAGUCCUCGGCCUUGAAAUCGUAAAUUAUUACACAAUCAAACAUCUUGUUGUGAUAUCCCUGAACUAGAUACUAAUCCAGUAAAAUAACUCCUAACAGUAUGCAACUCAGUUCCUUUAACACAAUCAACACUCAAAUACUCUUUAAGAAAAUCUUCCACCAUAACUCUAGGCACACUAGUGAAAACCACCCUACACCCUGCUGAUUUUAAAACCUCAUAAACAUGAACAUUUAAAUUUUCAAGAUAAAACUUAGGCAAAACAGCUCUUCCAACACUGUCCAUGUCCUUUAAUCUUAACUCACAAAAUGUAAUAAAGAUCAUAACUCUUAGUUUAAGUUCAUAAUCAAGAACCAAUAAAAGGGGACUUGACAAAAGUAAGAACAAGGCUCUAAAAAUGCUACCACCUUCAAAAGCAACUAACAUGAAAUAUGGAAAAAAAGAUUCAGAUCUAAGAAGUGUGCCUUGAAUGUCACAUGCAACUGUUUUUAAUUUUCUCCCAUAUAAAGUACACUUGCUUAUACUAGGGUACAAAGGAAUUUGAUGAGAUGAUCUAAAUGAUGAGUUUCUGGAAAAGAAACCAGAGUCUUUAACUUUUACUACAACUUUGUAACAUGAUUUUUUUAUUAAGAGUAUGUAAAUCAAUUUUAUAAUAUUUAUUUUGGUGUCAUAUAGGAUAAAAGUAAUUUAAUGGAUAACGGAGAUAAAAGGUGAAUGGGCCUUUGAAGGCCAACUGAUGAGUACAUACAAUGAGUGAAUAAAUUUCUUAAUAAAGCAUUUGAAUGAGCUUCCCAAGGAAAUCAAAUAUUAUGCCCUUGUAAAGAGUGCGCUAAUUGUUUUUGGCAUCAUAGGAAUGUGGUGGAAGACCACUUGAUUGUUAAUAGUUUUGUUCAUGGAUACAACAAAUGGGUUUUUCAUGGGAAAGAAUUUUCCUCGAGAAAGACUCCAUGCCCAAGCAGUAAUGAUAAUGGUUCUGACAUGUAUGACGAUAUUGAUGGAUUACUUCAUGAUACAUUUUGAAGUGUCAAGGCUGAUUCGGGACAUACAGUGUAACGACCCAGCCAGUCGUUUCAUGAUUUACCACUCUAUUUCCCCCAUUUUUGCUUCUUUAUGUCUUGUUUAGCUGUAUUAUAUGGUAUCAGGUUAGUUGAUUCGGGUUCAAAAUGGUUUUGGAGAGGUUUGAGACACUUAGUUUUUUUGAGUAAGCUUAAAUUAAAAAAGUCAACAAGACGUUAACUUAUGUGAAAAAGAGCUCGGAUGUGAAUUCUGAUGAUUUAGAUAGUUUUGUUAGGUGAUUUGGGACUUAGGAGCAUGAUCAGAAUUUAAUUUGGAAGUUCGUGGUAGAUUUAGGCAUGAAUUAGCGAAAUUGAAAUUUUGGUGUUUUCUGGUCGAUAGUGAAAUUUUUUAUAUCGGGGUCGGAAUAGAAUUUCAAGAGUUACAGUAGGUCCGUUGUGUCAUAUGAGAUGUGUGUGCAAAAUUGCAAGUCAUUCGGGCGUGGUUUAAUAGACUUUUUGAUUGUUUGCGGAAUUUGGAAGUUUUGGAAAUCUUAGGCUUGAAUCCGAGGGUGUUUUGAUAAUUCGAUGUUGUUUGGAGUGUUCUGGAGGUUGGUAUAAGUUUAAAUAGUGUAAUAUGACUUGUUUGUAUUUUUGGUUGAGGUCUCGGGGGCCUCGGGGUAAUUUCGGGUGGUUGACGAGAGGUUUGAAGUUGGAAUUAGCUGCUGAAGUGCUGAAGCUCUUGUCAUAACCAUACAUGCACCUUGGAGACCGUAGGUGCGGGCCCGCAGAAGCAAAAAAGGGAAUGCAGAUGCAGACAAAGGAAUGGAUGACUAUAGACGCAGAUGGGGGGUUUUAAUCACAGGUGCGAUCCUUGGGAGGAUAAGUGGAAUCCGCACAUGUGCACCUGGGACCGCAGAUGCGAGAUUUCGACCGCAAAAGUUGUUUAGCUAGGGCAAAACAUAUAAAUUUAGCCCUUCGCGAUUUUUGAGUGGGUUUUCACCAUUUUCAUGCGGGUUUGAGCUUGGGAGAGAAAUUUGAAGAGAGAAUUCAAGAAGGUUUCGUGGAGGUAAGAUUUUUGGACCCUAAACUUAUUUCUAUGAUGGUUUUUGACUAAUUAAGUUUGAAAUCUAUGGAAAUUAGUAGCAGAAAUUGGGGGUUUAGGGCUUGGAAAUUGGAGACCCUAAUCUAGGGAUUUGAGGGGUCAUUUGUGGUGGGAUUUUGGUAUUCUUAGUAUGUAUGAACUCGUGAGAGUGUAAGGAUUGUAGUUUUAUGAAUUUUAUCAGAAUCCGAGAUGUGGGUUAGGGGUCGGGUUUGACCUAUUUCAGGAUUUGUGAUGUAAUUUGAUUAUUUUCGCAUGGGUUUUGUCCCCUGAGUAUAUAUUGAUGUUAUGGUUCUGAUUUUGGUUAGAUUCGGGGCAUUUGGAGGCCGAAUCAAGAGGAAAGGGCGUUGCGGGCUAGAAUUUGGCUUGGCUUGAGGUAAGUAACGCUUCCAAACUUGGUUCUGAGGGCUCGAAACCCCAAACUAUGUGUUCUAUGAUUACUAUUUAGGUAACACAAUUCCAUGUAACGGGUGUGUGGGCGUGCACCGUGAGAAAUGUGGCCUGGAUCAUUCCAUGGCACCGCUUAGUGAAUCUUUUAUACUGAUAUCUGUGUCGUAAUUAUGUAAUUAAGUUAAUAAGCUACAAAUCUUGCUAAUUAUCAUGUUAAGGCUUCAUGCCAACCUUGUUGAGACCCGAGAGAUCGUUUCUUGUUGUCAUGUAAUUAGCUUCAUUUAUAUCCUAUAAUCAAUCCUGUUCAUGCAUAUUAUAUCAUGCCUCAGUCUCGAUUACUGCGUCUAUAGACAUAUCAUAUCAUUUUUCGGGCUUGUAUCAUGAUUUUGUUAGCCCGUGUGUGCGAUGCUAGAGAGUAUUCACUAAGUGAGGCCGAGAGCCUGAUAUUGAUUGACGAUAUGGGAUCGGGCUGCACGUGCAGCGAGAUAUUGAUCAUUCCUUCGUUGACAUUGAUAUAGUGCUUGGGCUCAGAGAAGCGCAAUUGAUGAUAUUGAGGGAUGGAUCUUCCAUGGACAUGGAUCUUGUCCGAAGUAUUGGUAUGGAGAUGGAUCUUCUCCGUGAGGCUGGAUUGGUCUGUUUCCUCGGUACUGGGUGCCUUAUAGUCAGUGAUGUAUAUAUUCUGGGAUGAAUCUUCCCUGGGCCAUAUACAGUACCAAGUGGUUGAGCAUUGUGCGUGGAAGUAUUAUACGCAACAAUGAUCAUGCUAUCUUUGCAUUGGUACUUAGGGGUACUUGAGCUUUAUACUCUGCAUUGUUCAUACUAUGUUGGACUUGGGUCGUCACUAUCGUCAAUCCAUAGUUUGGACUUGUUACUUACUGAGUUGGUGUACUCACGUUACCCCCUGCAACCCUGUGUGCAGAUCCAGGUAUCUCGGGGCACGGUAGUAGUUGUUGAUCACACCAGUUGGAGACAUUCUGUAGAGAUUGCGAGGUAGCUGCUUGGCGACCGCAGUUCUGCCUUCUCCUUUCCUUAUCUUCCUUUAGUAUAUUUAUUUGGAUAUUCUCAGACCGUGUUGGUCAUGCUAUUUUGGACAGAUGUAGUAGUUUUAGCUCAUGACUUAGUGACACCCGAGGUUAGGAUUGUGUUUUUUUCCACUGGAUUUUGAUUUCUACUUUUAUCUUAUUUAAUUUCUAUUAAAAUUAUGAUUUUCCUUAAAGUUUUCAUUUGAAAAAAAUGGAGUAUUUGGAAAUAAGUGGCUGGCCUAGUAUCACGAUAGGUGCCAUCAUGACAUGACUUGAUUUAGGGUCGUGACAUAUUGGUAUCAGAGCCUAGGUCACAUAGGUCUCACGAGUCAUGAGCAGGUUUAGUAGAAUCUCGCGGAUCGGUACGGAGACGUCUAUAUUUAUCCUCGGGAGGCUACAUAAACUUUAGGAAAACUUCAUAUUCUUGAAUUCUUGUCAUUAAAAUAUGUUGAACCUAGUACUGAACUUCUAUUAUUCUAUUCUCUCACAGAUGUUGAGGAUAUGUGCUACCGGUCAGGAUGGAUGACCACCAGUACCACUAGUUGGGGCCGCUAGAGGCAGAGGACACGGUCCAGGCCGUGGUAGGGGUAGGGGUGUGGCCCGCACAGAAGCUAGGGCAACACUUGCAGAUCUACCUACUGCCCCAGUUCAUGAUCAGGCUCCAGCAAGGAUGCUCUAGCAGCACCAGCUCAAGCAACGACUAUGCCUAUUGUUAUUUCGGGUCUCUAGGAGACUUUGGCUUAGAUUCUGACUGUGUGCACCAAUAUUGCUCAAGUAGUCGCAGUGUCUACUAUAGAAACGACUUCUCAAGACGGGGGAGGCACUCAAACUCCCACCACCCGUACACCCGAGCAGGUUGUUCAGGGACUUUAGACACCGGAGGUACCACCAGCUCAGCCGGUUGCAUCUGCUCAGGAUUUUGUGGUUCGAGUUAUGCCUGAUGACAAUCAACGUCGAUUGGAGAGGUUUGGUAGACUUCAGCCUCCGACUUUCAGUGGCUCAGAGGGUGAGGAUGCCUAGGGUUUCUUGGAUAAGUGUUAGAGGAUGCUGAGUACAACGGGUAUUCUGGAGACUAGUGAAGUCUCAUUUACUACUUUUCAGUUUUCUGGAGCUGCCUUCACUUGGUGGGAGGCUUAUGAGAAGCGUAGGCCUAUUGGUGCACCGCCCCUUACCUGGCAUCAGUUCUCUAUUCUCUUCCUAGAGAAGUUUGUACCGCAUUCCCGCAAAGAGGAGCUGUGCAGGCAGUUCGAGUAGUUACGUUAAGGGGAUAUGACUGUAUUGCAGUAUGAGAUGAGGUUCUCCUAGUUGGCUCGUCAUGCUAUCUGGCUAGUUCCCAUAGAUUGGGAGAGGAUCAAGAGGUUUGUUGAUGGUCUCAACUAUCAGUUACGGAUUUUUCUGACCAAAGUGAGAGUAUCUGGCGCUCCUUUUGAAGAGGUGGUUGACAUUUCUUAAAAUAUAGAGUCAGCUUGCCGCCAGGAGCGGGAUGAGAGGGAGGCCAAGAGGUUUUGGGGAUCUGGUAGCUUUAGUGGUGUUCCUUCGAGAGGUUAGUCUCAGCAUGGCAGAUGUCGUUCAUUCAGAUAUGCUCAGCCAGCUCGUUCAGGUCAUCGUGGUGGGUUAUCUGGCCAUGGUUCUCAUAGUUCACAUCAGGUUCACUCAUCUCUCAGUGCCCUUCCAGCUUAGAGUUUGAAUCAGGCACCAUCAGUUCAAGGCUCAUCUAUGCUUGGUUCUUCUAGUGGCCAUCCUGGUGCGCAAGGCUCCCUUCAGUCCCCACUGCCAUUUGCCGGGAGAGAUUGCUUCGAGUAUAGAGAUGUGGGUCAUAUCAAGAGGUUCUGUCCCCGCCUUACGUGAGGUUCAUCCCACUAGAGAGGUCAGCUUUCGGCUUUAGCACCAGUUACUUCUCCACCCGCUCAGUCAGCUUGGGGUGGAGGUCAGUUAGCUAGGGGUUGCCGUAGAGGGGGAGGUCGAUCAAGUGGUGGUCAUGCCCGUUUCUAUGCCCUCCCAUCCAGACCAGAUGCUAUUGUUUCAGAUGUUGUGAUUACAGGUAUUAUCUAAGUCUGCCAUAGAGAUGCCUCUAUAUUAUUUGAUCCUGGUUCCACCUUUUCUUAUGUGUCAUCAUAUUUUGCCCAUUAUUUAGAUAUGCCCUACGAGCCUCUUGUUUCAUCUGUUCAUGUAUCUACUCUAAUGGGCAAUACUAUUGUUGUGGACCAUGUAUAUCAGUUGUGUGUAGUGACUAUUGGGGGUUUGGAUACCCGAGUGGAUCUCUUGUUGCUUAGUACGGUUGAUUUUGAUAUGAUAUUGGGCAUGGAUUGGUUACCUCCGUGUCGUGCUAUUUUGGACUAUCAUGCUAAGACAGUAACGUUGGCUAUGUGGGGGUUGCCAUGGAUUGAGUGGCGAGGUUCGAUUGAUUAUGUUCCCAGCAGGGUAGUUUCGUUUCUGAAGGCCUAGCGGAUGGUUGGGAAGGGUUGUCUUUCAUACUUAGCCUUUGUGAGGGAUGUCAGUGCAGAGAAUCCUAGUAUUGAUUCUGUUCCUGUAGUGAGGGAUUUUUUUAUGUGUUUCCUACAGACCUACUGGGCAUGCCCCUGGACAGGGAUAUGACUUUGGUAUUGAUUUGGUGAGCCCAUUUCUAUUCCACCGUAUCGUAUGGCACCGGCGAAGUGAAAGGAGCAGCUUCAGGAACUCCUUGAUAAUGGGUUUAUUCGACCUAGUGUGUUGCCGUAGGGUGCACCUGUUCUAUUUGUGAAGAAAACAGAUGGCACUAUAAGGAUGUGCAUUGAUUAUAGGCAGUUGAAGAAGGUUACAAUUAAGAAUAAGUAUCCUUUGCCUUGCAUUAAUGAUUUAUUCGACCAGCUUUAGGGAGCGAGAAUGUGCUCCAAGAUUGAUCUUCGUUCAGGGUAUCGCCAGUUGAAGAUCAAGGACUCAUAUUCUUACGACAGGUUUCAGGACCCGUUAUGGUCAUUAUGAGUUCCUUGUGAUGUUUUUUUCGCUGACCAAUGCCCCAGCAGUGUUCAUGGAUCUGAUUAACAGCGUGUUCUGGCCUUAUCUUGACUCGUUCGUGAUUGUUUUCAUUGAUGAUAUUCUGGUAUAUUCGCAUAGUCAAGAGGAGCAUGUGGAGCAUUUAAGAGUUGUGUUGCAUAGAUUGAGGGAGGAGAAGGUUUAUGAAAAGUUCUUCAAAUGUGAGUUUUGGCUCAGGUCAGUGGCUUUCUUGGGGCACGUAGUGUCCAGUGAGGGUAUUCAGGUUGAUCCGAAGAAGAUAGAGGCGGUUCAGAGUUGGCCCAAACCGUCCUCAGCCAUAGGGAUUCACAGCUUUCUUGGUUAGGUGGGUUAUUACCGCCAGUUCAUUCAGGGAUUUUCAUCUAUAGCAUCACCCUUGACCAAGUUGACUCAAAAUGGUGCUCCAUUCAUGUGGUCGGACGAUUGUGAGACGAGCUUUCAGAAGCUCAAGACUGCCUUGACCACAACUCCAGUGUUAGUUUUUCCAUCAGCUUCAGGUUCCUACACAUUGUAUUGUGAUGCUUCGAGAGUUGUUAUUGGGUGUGUUUUGAUGCAGGAGGGUAGAGUGAUUGCGUAUGCUUUUCGUCAGUUCAAGCCCUAUGAGAAGAACUACCCUGUUCAUGAUUUGGAGUUGGCUGCCAUUAUUCACGCAUUGAAGAUUUGGAGGCAUUAUUUUUAUGGUGUGUCAUGUGAGGUCUUUACUGAUCAUCGUAGCCUCCAGAACUUGUUCAAGCAGAAGGAUAUCAAUAUGAGGUAGCGGAGAUGGUUGGAACUGCUAAAAGAUUAUGAUAUCAUUAUAUUGUACCAUCCGGGAAAGGCCAAUGUGGUGGCCGAUGCCUUGAGUAGGAAGGUGGUGAGUAUGGGGAGUUCGGCAUAUAUUCCUAUUGAGAAGAGACCUCUUGCAGUUGAUGUUCAGACCUUGGCCAAUCGGUUUGUGAGGUUGGAUAUUUUGGAGCCUAGUCGGGUAUUGGCUUGUGUGAUUUCUCGGUCUUCCUUAUUUGAUCGCAUCAGAGAGCAUUAGUAUGAUGAUCCUCAUUUGCUUUUCCUUAAGGACAGAGUUCAGCACGACGAUGCUAGAUAUGUGACUAUUGGUGAUAAUGGGGUAUUGAGGAUGCGGGGCUGGAUAUGUGUGUCCAAUGUUGAUGGGCUUCGGGAGUUGAUUCUGGAGGAGGCCUAUAGCUCGUGGUAUUCCAUCCAUCCGGGUGCCGCGAAGAUGUAUCAAGAUUUGAGACAACAUUACUAGUGGAGAAGAAUGAAGAAGGAUAUUAUGGAAUUUGUAGCUCGGUGUCUCUAUUGUCAGCAGGUGAAAUAUAAGCAUCAGNNNNNNNNNNNNNNNNNNNNNNNNNNNNNNNNNNNNNNNNNNNNNNNNNNNGAUUAUGGAUCGGCUGACCAAGUCCACACACUUCAUUCCUGUGUGUACUACCUAUUAUUCAAAGCGGUUGGCAGAGAUCUAUAUCCGAGAGAUUGUUCGCUUGCAUGGUGUCCCAGUUUCCAUCAUUUCAGAUAGAGGUACCCAGUUUACUUUGCAGUUUUGGAGAGCCGUGCAGAGAGAGUUGGGUACUCAGGUUGAGUUGAGCACAUCUUUUCACCCUCAGACGAACGGGCAGUCCGUGUGCGCUAUUCAGAUGUUGGAGGACAUGUUGCGCGCUUAAGUCAUUGAUUUUGGAGGGUCAUGGGAUCAGUUUCUACUGCUCACAGAGUUUGCUUACAACAAUAGUUACCAGUCGAGUAUUCAGAUGGCUCCAUAUGAGGCUUUGUAUGGGAGAUGGUGUAGAUCUCCACUUGGUUGGUUUGAGCCGGGUGAGGCUAGUCUUUUGGGUAUAGACUUAGUGUAGGAUGCUUUGGACAAUGUGAAGGUGAUUCGGGAGUGGCUUCGCACAGUCGAGACAGAAGAGUUAUGCUGACAGGAAGGUCCGUGAUAUGUCUUACAUGGUUGGGGAGAAGGUUCUGUUGAAGGUUUCACCCAUGAAGGAUGUUAUGAGAUUUGGAAAGAAGGGUAAAUUGAGUCAUUGAGUCAUUGGGCCUUUUGAGGUGCUUCAUAGGAUUGGGAGGUAGCUUAUGAGCUUACUUUGCCACCCAGCUUAUCGAGUGUGCAUCCGGUAUUUCAUGUUUCUGUGCUCCAGAUGUAUAUUGGCAAUUCGUCUCAUAUUUUGGAUUUCAGCACGGUUCGGUUGGAUGGUGAUUUGACUUAUGAUGUGAAGCCGGUGGCUAUAUUGGAGCGUCAUAUUCGAAAGUUGAGGUUAAAGGAUAUAACUUCAAUAAAAGUGCAGUGGAGAGGUCGGCCCGUGGAGGAGGCUACCUGGGAGACCGAGCGGGAGAUGUGGAGCAGAUAUCCUCACCUAUUUGAGGCUUCAGGUAUGUUUCUUGACUCGUUCGAGGAUGAACGUUUGUUUAAGAGGGGGAGGAUGUAAUGAUCCGGUCAGCCGUUUCAUGAGUUAGCGCUCCGUUUCCUCCAUUUCUGCUUCUUUAUGUCUUGUUCAGAUGUAUUAUGUGGUAUCAGGUUAGUUGAUUCGGGUUCAGAAUGGUUUUGGAGAGGUUCGAGACACUUAGUCUCUUUUGAGUAAGCUUAAGUUGGAAAAGUCAACCGGACAUUGACUUAUAUGAAAAGGGGCUCAGAUGUGAAUUCUGAUAGUUUGGAUAGCUUCGUUAGGUGAUUUGGGACUUCGGAGCGUGAUCAGAAUGUAAUUUGGACGUCUGUGGCAGAUUUAGGCUUGAAUUGGCGAAAUUGGAAUUUUGGCAUUUUCCGGUUGAUAGUGGAAAGUUUUAUAUCAGGGUCGGAAUGGAAUUCCGGAAGUUGUAGUAGGUCCGUUGUGUCAUAUGGAAUAUGUGUGCAAAAUUUUAGGUCAUUCGGACAUGGUUUGAUAGACAUUUUGAUCGUUUGUGGAAUUCAGAAGUUUUGGGAUUCUUAGGCUUGAAUCCGAGGGUGUUUUGAUGAUUCGAGGUUGUUUGGAAUGUUCUGGAGGUUGGUAUAAGUUCGAAUAGUGCAAUGUGACUUGUUCAUACUUUUGGUUGAGGUCCCGGGGGCCUCACGAUGAUUUCGGGUAGUUGACGGGAGGUUUGGAGUUGGCAUUAGCAGCUGAAGUGCUGAAGCUCCUGUCAUAACCACACCUACGGCUUGGGGACCGCAUGUGCGGGUCCGCAGAAGCGAAAAAGGGAAUGCAGAUGCGGCCAAAGGAAUGAAUUAUUGGAGCCACAGAUGUGGGGUUUUGAUCGCAGGUGCGAUCCUUGGGCAGAUAAGUGGAAUCCGCAGAUGCGCACCUGGGACCGCAUGUGCGGGUUCGCAGGUGCGAUAUUUCGACUGCAGAAGCGGUUAAGGUAGGGCGAAACAUAUAAAUUUAGCCCUUCACGAUUUUUGAGUGGCGUUUCACCAUUUUCAUGUGGGUUUGAGCUUGGGAGAGCAAUUUGAAGAGAGAAUUCAAGAGGGUUUCGUGGAGGUAAGAUUUUUGGAGUCUAAACUUGUUUCUAUGAUUGUUUUUGACUGAUUAAGCUUGAAAUCUAUAGAAAUUAGUAGCAAAAAUAGGGGGUUUAGGGCUUGGGAAUUGGAGACCCUAAUCUAGGGAUUUGAUGGGUCAUUUGUGAUCGGAUUUUUGUAUUCUUGGUAUGUAUGAACUCGUGAGAGUGUAACGAUUCUAGUUUUGUGAAUUUUAUCGGAAUUCGAGAUGUGGCCCGAGGGUCGGGUUUGACCAAUAUCGGGAUUUGUGAUGUAAUUUGAUUAUUUUCUCAUGGGCUUUGUCCCCUGAGUAUAUAUUGAUGUUAUGGUUCUAAUUUUUGUUAGAUUUGGGGCAUUUGGAGGUCGAAUCGAGAGGAAAGGGCAUCACGGGCUAGAGUUUGGCUUGGCUUGAGGUAAGUAACGCUUCCUAGCUUGGUUCUGAGGGUUCGAAACCCUGAACUGUGUGUUCUAUGAUUACUAUUGAGGUGACGCAAUGCCAAGUGAUGGGCGUGUGGGCGUGCACCAUGAGAAAUGUGUCCUGGAUCAUUCCAUGGCACCGCUUAGUAACUCUUUUAUACCGAUAUUUGUGUUGUAAUAAUGUGAUUAAGUUAAUAAGCUGCAAAUCAUGCUAAUUAUCAUGUUAAGGCUUCACGCCAACCCUGUUGAGACCCGAGAGAUUAUUUCUUGCUGUCAUGUCAUUAGCUUCAUUUAUAUCCUAUACUCAGUCCUGUUCAUGUAUAUUAUAUCAUGCCUCAGUCUCGAUUAUUGCUAUUUGACAUAUCAUAUCAUUUUUUGGGCUUGUAUCAUGACCUUUUUAGCCUGUGUGUGCGAGACUGGAGAGUAUUGACUGAGUGAGGCCGAGAGCCUGAUAUUGAUUGACAGUAUGGGAUCGGGCUGCAUGCCACAGCGAGAUAUUGAUCAUGCCUUCGUUGGCAUUGAUAUAGCGCUUGGGCUCAGCGAAGCCCCUCCGGAGUCUUUACACCCCAAGUGAGCGCAGUUGAUGAUAUUGAGGGAUGGAUCUUCCCUAGACAUGGAUCUUGUCUGAAGUAUUGGUAUGGAGAUCGAUCUUCUCUAUGAGGCUGGAUUGGCCUAUUUUUUCGGUACUGGGUGACUUAUAGUUAGUGAUAUAUAUAUUCUGGGAUAGAUCUUCCUUGGUCCAAAUGGGCCAUAUACAGUACCGAGUGGUUGAGCGCUGUUAGUGGAAGUAUUAUACGCAAUAAUGAUCAUGCUAUUUGUGCAUUGAUACUUAGGGGUUCCUAAGCUUUAUACUCUGCAUUGUUCAUAGGGUGUUUGUUCACUGUUGAGGAUUUACUUGAACUGUAAGCAUGUCUACUUUUCUAUACAAUUAAAUGUUGCUACCAGUUGAGGUUUGGUUCGUCACUACCAUUAGUCCAUAGUUUGGACUUGUUACUUACUGAAUUAGUGUACUCACGUUACCCCUUGCACCCCUGUGUGGAAAUCCAGGUAUCUCGGGGCAUGGUAGCGAUUGUUGAUCACACCAAUUGGAGACAUUCUGUGGAUAUUGCGAGGUAGCUUCUUGGCGACCGCAGUUCUGCCUUCUCCUUUCCUUAUCUUCCUUUAGUAUAUUUAUUUGGAUAUUCUCAGACCAUGUUGGUCAUGCUGUUUCGGACAUAUGUAGUGGUUUUAGCUCAUGACUUAGUGACACGCGAGGUCGGGAUUGAGUUUUCUUUCCGCUGAAUUUUGAUUUCUACUUUUAUCUUAUUGAAUUUCUGUUAAAAUUAUGAUUUUCCUUAAGUUUUCAUUUGAAAAAAAUGGAGUAUUUGGAAAUAAGGGGCUGGCCUAGUAUCAUGAUAGGCGCUAUCACGACAUGGUUAGAUUUUGAGUCAUGACAUAAAGGAGUGAGAGAUGGACCAUCAGAAGAUGCAAAAAGAUUCUUUAAAUUAGUAGAAGAAGGGAAAGAAGAAAUAUGUCCAGCGUGUGAGAAUUUCUCCAAAUUAGGUUUUACGAUUCGGUUAUACUUGUUUAAAGGCAUUCAUGGGAUAAGUAAUGUGGCAUUCAAAGACUUGUCGAAGUUGUUAAAAGAGGCAUUUCCAUUUGCUCAGCUACCCGAGUCUUUCUUCAAGGCAACAAGCAUGAAAUAAGAUUUGGGUCUUCAUUAUGAAAAAAUGCAUGCAUGUUCUAAUGAUUGCAUGUUAUUUUAGAAUGACAAUGUAAAUGCAGAUAAUUGUUCUUUUUGUGGGUCUUCUAGAUAGAAGAAUGUUGUUAAUGUCUUGACUAAUAAAAAGACCAAAACCCCUGCAAAGGUUUUAAGACUUUCCAGUGAAGCCUCGAUUUCAGAGGAUAUUCAUGUGUCUCGAAACAGAUGUAGCUAUGAGAUGGCAUGCCACUGAACGACCGAAUGAUGGAAAUAUAAGACAUCCUUCUGAUGGUGAUGCUUGGAAGGAAUUUGACUCUUUUCACCCUGAAUUCUCUAGCGACCCUCGCAAUGUUAGAUUGGGUAUUUCAAGUGAUUGUUUCAACACGUUUCGAACAAUGAGCAUCUCCCAUAGCACGUGACUUGUUAUGUUAAUGAACUAUAAUCUUUCACCUUGGAUUUGCAUGAAGCCAAACUAUAUAAUGUUGUCAAUGAUCAUCCCAGGUCUGUCAUCUUCGGGAAAUGACAUAGAUGUGUAUCUACAACAACUAAAUGAUGAAUUGAAGGAACUAUGGGAAUUUGGGGUAGAAACAUUGAUGUCGAAUCCAACCAGAUGUUUCAAAUACGUGAAGCGUAAGUGUGGAAAAUUAGUGAUUUUGCUGCACUAACAAUGCUUUAUGGAUGGAUCACAAAGGGAAAUUUUGCAUGCCCACUUGUAAUUAUGGAACAUGCUCUCAAUAUCUCAAGCAUAGUCGUAAGAUGUGCUACGUGGGUCAUCGAGCAUUUUUGACUCUUGAACAUUCAUUUCGAAGAGAUAAGAAAUCAUUUGAUGGUAAGGAGGAUCAUAGACUUGGACCUACUCCAUUGUUGGGUACAGAAGUCCUCAAAGAGUUGCGUGAAUUCAAGAAUGUCUUUGGAAAGGGAAAAAAGAAAAGGUUUCGGGAUAACAAGUGCCCAUAGAAGAAAAGAUCCAUCUUCUUUGAACUAUCAUACUGGAAAAUUAACAAAUUGAGGCACAAUCUUGAUCCGAUGCACAUUGAGAAGAAUAUAUGUGAUAGUAUUCUUGGGACAUAAUUGGAGAUAGAUGGAAAGUCAAAAGAUCAUGUAAACUCUCGUUAUGAUUUGCAACGAAAAGAGCUUCAACCAAUAUAAGAUGUUGUAAGUGGAACAAUUUCUUUGGCUAAAGCUUGUUUCUAUAUGAAUCCAGUAGAGAAGAGGCGAUUUUGCACCUUUAAAAAUGCCAAAUUUCCAAAAGGUUGUGCCUCGAAUAUAUCACAUUGUGUGCAUGAGAAAUAGAUGAAAAUAUCGGGGUACAAGAGUCAUGAUGCUCAUUUUGUAAUGUAUUACUUGCUCGAAGUUGCUAAUAGAAAAUCGUUACCCAAGAAUGUUUCUUUGGCAUUGAUUAGGUUGGGCAACUUCGUUAGAGCCAUAUGUGCUAAGGUUAUAUCUUGAUAGAUUGCAUACUGAAAUCAAUGAUAUUACAUGUGAGCUUGAAAUAAUUUUUACUCCAACCUAAUUUUUAUAUAAUGCCUCAUUUGCCUAUUCAUUUAGUAAAUGAAAUUAAGCUUGGGGGUGCAACUCAUUAUCGUUGGAUUUAUUCCACUGAAAGAAACUUGUGCAAGUAUAAGGCAUUUGUUCGUAAUCGAGCUUAUCCAGAAACGUCAAUUGUAGAGGGGUUUUUGGCCGAAGAGUGCUUGACGUUUUGUUCGAGAUACCUACUAAUGGGGUGAAGACAAGAUUUAGUAGGUACCAAACUGAGAAUGAUGGGGACAUUGAAGGAGCAAAAUUGUCACCUAUAUUUCCUAAAAUUGGUCAUCUAAUUGGAAGUAAGAAAAAGAGAAAAAGAAAUAUUUUCCUCAUGGAUUUGCAGUUAUGUUCUGAGGCACAUAGAUAUUCUCUUUUCAAUACUAAAGAUGAACAAGUGGAGGCGUUUAUCAUGUAAGAUAAAAUAUAUUAUCAUCACUUGUAUUAUAAGCUUUGUUUAUUUUAUUUUUUAAUAUUUUUAAAUUUAAUUGAUAUGACUUAUGAUUAAAUUUGAAACGUAUGGCUUGCAGGGAAUAUAAAAAUUUAAUUGAUAAUCGUACUAGAUCAAAUGCGUGGGUAAGAACAAGAAAUCAUAGUCAAAACUUUGCCGAAUGGUUUAAAGAGAGUAAAAAAGCAUUGACAUGCCCAAUCAUUUGCGAUGGCUAGCUAAAGGACCUAAUACAUUGGCAAAGGAUAUACUGGAUAUUUUAUCAACGGCUACUUGUUUCAUACAAUGAUGCGGGAUGCCCCGUUGAAGACUUAAAAUAGUAGAGUGACUUUGUCAGUAACAACUGAUAGUUUUGCUAGUGCUAGGGACCAAAAUCCCAUUGAUGGAGAGGUUCUCUACUGUGGAGCUAUUUAGAAUAUCAUUGAGAUUGAUUAUUAGGGUCUCUUUCGUGUUGUACUAUUUAGAUGUGAUUGAUUUCGUACUGAAGUAGAUGAAUACGGGUUAACUCAGGUAUACUUUAACUGAUUAUGUAGUACUGAUGACUCUUUGUUGUUCGCAUCUCAAGUACAUCAAGUUUUUUAUGUGGAGGAUCCAAUUGAGAAAGAUGUUUAUUAUGCAAGGAAUAAAGUCCAUGUUGAUUUGUAUGAUUUCGAGGAAGAGAAUAUUCCUAAUGUUGGGGAGACAUUUUUGGCGGGAGCCUAAUAAUGAAGCAGGUCCAUCAACUAGAUUAGCUGACAUUGAUUUUAGAUGGUCGAGAGAAGAUGUACCUCUUGAUGUUAUUGAUAUGCCAAUUGAUGCACAACAUUCACAAGAAACAAUUAUGGAAACAUUAUAAGAAGAUGAUGAUUUAGAUGAUAUGGAUUGGGAUUGGAUGUAGAUUGAUGAUUGAAGAAGAAACUUCUGAUUUUUAUUUGUAUUUUUUAUCUUCAUUGUCUUCUUUUGAACAAUUUUUUGUUCUUGUGUAUGCUCUUGAAUUUUUUGUAAUAUGCUAAGUACUUGAAACUAUAGUCUGAUACGAAGCUAUUUUAAUAUGUUAUAGUUCAAGCUUAGUUUGUUUCACUCCAAGCUUUUAUAUUAUCUAUUGUUGGAGAUUUUUUUGUUAUAAGAAAAAGCCUGCCUCUCCCGAAAGCUGUGAAUAACUAUAAUGAUUGUUGGUUUGAUAUGUGUGAGAGAAGUGAAAGCAGACUUUUCAGUAAGGCAGAAUACAUAACCAGCCCCCUAAACUAUUAUCUUUUCAAGCUAAAUUCCUUCUUGUUCUACUAUUAGAUCGUUUCUGUCACAAGCUGAAUUAGACUCAAUUGGGCAUUGGAUUUCUAAGUUUUUGAGCUGCAAUAUUCCUUAUUUCUGAUGAGUUAGAUACUAUAUUGGGUUGGCAGCUGCUCUUGUUUGAAAAUCAAUUGAAUUGGUAAAUGUGUUAACCUAUUUUGUCAGCAAAUUCCUACACUUAUUCACUGGGAAUUUCAGGUUGUUUAAUGGCAGUUUUGUGCUCAGUUUCUAUCCAGUUUGGAUUAAGAAGGGCAUGAUUUUUGUUGUAGUUUAAUGUUUAGAGGGAAUAAGCUUCUCAAUCCUUGCAGUGUUCUCAACAAGAAAUAUUGGUAGUACUAUUUUUGGAUCUUCAUGUAUUCAUUGGAUAUGAGAUUUAAAAACCUAACACUUUAAUUCUUUGAUGUGUCAAUGUGUUCCUGGAAUCUUCUCUAAAGGUUCCAUUCAGUGGUUGAAAAGGAUGCAAGUUCUCUGUAAUGGAUGUUGUCAGGUGUGUGUGUUGUAAUAAAUCUUCUCUGUAAUGAUUCUUCUCUAAAGGUUCCAGCAAGAGUGUGUUGUAAUUGCCUUAGUUAUUAUCAGUACAUAUAAGAUAUGAAACUAUAGUCUGAUACAAACUAUAGCUUUCACUUUGUUGUUGUUGCUGCAUAUAUUCAGUUGCUUUUAUUAUAAAUUUUGUUCUUGCAUAUGACCUUUGUUUUCACUUUUUCCUUUGGCUUUUCCUAGUCUUGCAAUCUGUAACCAUUACUUAAAAACCAUCAUAUAUGCAUCUUGGAAUUCUACUAUUGUCAUUUAUAUAAUACCUAAUAAAGCUAUUUUUAUUUGUAUUCUUCAUUAGAUUUGAUAGACAUGAUUCAAGAAAAACCUUCAAAGCCCAAAAGAAAGACAAGCACGACAUACACAAAACCUGGAACAAUGGCAUCUUUGGCAAACCAAAUAAGGACUUAGUUUAGCCAAAAAUAUGUUGUUCUCGCUAGACAAUCAAACAAAGAGCGGCCGAAUAUUAUUGAAGAGAAUAUUCCAUAAUAUCCAGGAGUAGUAGCCCAUGUACAAACCAGAUCAAC